RNAcentral lists this unclassified non-coding RNA (3034 nucleotides) under Apis dorsata (giant honeybee). RNAcentral describes it as "neprilysin-1-like, transcript variant X2". The record is from RNAcentral. Lineage: Eukaryota; Metazoa; Arthropoda; Insecta; Hymenoptera; Apidae.
AGAGAAAAGAAAGAAAGGGAAAAAAAAAAAGAAAGAGUCGAAAGGGUUUCAAGGUGUUUAUCGAGGAUCGAUGAUCGAUUGGCUGCGGCGGAUCGAUCGUAGCCGCGAUGCCAACAUUGCAUCGGUCGUUGACACAGUUCCCCGCUUGAAAUUCGGCCCAGUGUGUCUAGCUGCUCCAGUUGAUCCAGGGAUUUUCAAUAUCACGGGUUGAGAAAGGAUGAAGGCUGAAAGCAACAACGGAUACUUGAAGACGAGCGUAAUCGUGGAGCAGAACGAGAUAUCGCUUGGUUCCGGUCAGGAGACACCUGCCACUAGUCCUCUUCAGGUGACUUAUGGCCCCCGUGGAAGCGCAACGACCACGGUCCUUCAGAAGCAUCCUGGGAACAGGCGGAAGUCGCUAGGAAUAACGCGGGCGACGUCAAUCAGACGAAGAGGGCCGGCCAACAGGCAGCAAUUGCUCGGUGUGCUCGCCGUCNCUCUCCUCGCCACUUGCCUUUUUAUUCUUCUGCUGUUGGCGUUGAACACGAGCCGCGAAUGCGUGCAAGAGCCCCGUCCAAACGUUUGCAUGACAGAGGAAUGCAUCAGAACAGCUGCCAGUCUACUCUCGGCGAUGGAUCGGACAGCAGCGCCAUGCGUGAAUUUUUUCCAGUACGCGUGUGGUACGUGGAACCGUCGUCACGUGAUCCCAGAGGAUCGAAGUUCGAUCAGCACGUUCGAAGUGUUGGCCAAUCAGUUACAAGUAAUUCUGAAACGCAUCCUGGAGGAACCACCGAACAACGAAGACAACAACGCCACCUUGAAAGCGAAGAUGUUCUACAAGUCGUGCAUGGACAUCCCUCGUAUAAGGAAGAUAGGAGAUACACCAUUGAGAAAGACGUUAGAGUUUCUUGGCGGUUGGCCAGUAGUGGUUGGACCAUCAUGGAAGCCACCUCCAUAUUCCGUCGAGGUUUUGCUAGGUCGAUUAAGAGGCCAGUACAACGAGGGAGUGUUGUUGGAACAAUGGGUCGGUCCAGAUGACAAGAACUCCUCAGCCAAUAUCCUCCAGCUGGAUCAGAUGCAAGUAGCGUUGCCAAGUAGAGACUAUUACUUGAAGAAGAGCAGCGAGUCUCAACUACACGCGUAUCAUCGUUAUAUGACAAACGUUGCUGUAUUGAUGGGUGCUAAUAGACAGACAGCUGUCGAGGAAUUCAAUCGCGUAAUCAAUUUGGAGAAACAAUUAGCAAAUGUGUCGAUACCAGAGGAUGAUAGACACGAUACGUCCGCUAUUUAUCGGAAGUUGACAUUGCGCGAGCUGCAGCGUGAAAUUCCACAAUUGAAGUGGCACGAGUAUCUUCAAGAAUUCAUCAAUUCUCCUAUAACGGAAGAAGAGCCCAUUGUUGCGUACGCCAUGCCAUAUUUCAUGCAAAUGGGUCGUAUCGUAAAAAGAACGGAUCGCAGAACGUUGCAUAAUUAUAUAUUGUGGAGAUUGGUCAUGUCCAUAAUGCCUCACAUGAUAGACGAAUAUCAGCAAAAGAGAGUCGAAUUUCGGAAGAUACUGUUGGGUAUACUAAGUGAGAGGGAUAGAUGGUCUCAAUGUGUUGAAUGGACGAACAAAAAGCUUGGUAUGGCCGUGGGUGCACUUUUCAUUCGUGACAACUUCAAUCAUGAAAGCAAGGAGACGGCACUCGAGAUGAUUCGCACCAUACGAGAGGCGUUUAACGAGUUAUUGGCCGAAAAUCAUUGGAUGGAUAAUGAAACUAGAGCCGUGGCCAAGAACAAAGCUAACUCAAUGAAUGAAAGAAUUGGAUAUCCUGAAUUUUUAAAAGAUCCUGUUGAACUUUCCAAGGAAUAUGUAAUGUUGAACAUUACCGAGAAUCAUUUCCUUGAGAACGUGCUAGCUGUGUUGAGAUACGACGCUUAUCACAAUUUGGAGAAGCUGCGAAAACCGGUUGAUAAGGACAAAUGGUCAACAGAGCCAGCCGUGGUAAAUGCCUUCUACAAUCCCAAUAAAAACGACAUUGUUUUUCCAGCUGGAAUUCUUCAGCCACUCUUCUACUCUCAGCAUUUUCCAAAAUCGUUGAAUUAUGGUGGAAUAGGUGUGGUGAUUGGCCAUGAGAUUACUCACGGUUUUGAUGAUAAAGGACGUCAGUUUGAUAAGGAUGGAAACAUGAUGCAAUGGUGGAACAAUGCCACUGUGAAAGCUUUCAGGGAAAGGGCUCAAUGUAUUGUGGAUCAAUAUUCAAGAUACAAAUUGCAAGAGGUUGAUCUGUACAUCAAUGGAAAAAUGACUCAAGGAGAGAAUAUUGCUGAUAAUGGAGGACUCAAACAAUCAUUUCGGGCAUACAAGAAAUGGGUGUCGAUACAUGGCGAAGAACCAUUACUUCCUGGUGUAAAUCUUACUCAUGAUCAACUGUUUUUUUUGAACUACGCUCAGAUAUGGUGUGGAUCCAUGAGACCAGAAGAUGCAUUGACGAAAAUACGAAGCAGCGUUCAUUCACCAGGUCCAAUAAGAGUUCUGGGUCCUUUAUCCAAUAGCGAAGACUUUGCCAGGGCCUAUGAUUGUCCUCUAGGCUCACCGAUGAAUCCAACUCAAAAGUGUAAUGUUUGGUAAUGCAGAAUUCUUUGAAAGAAAAAGAAUAAACAAAAAAAUAUUUGGAUACUUGUGAUGAUAUUUAAUGUCACAAUUAUAUUUCGUGCCAUAAGAAGACUUUAAUCAUUUUAUUGACUAGUGACCACGAUGAAAGACCAUGAAAGAUCAGUAUUAUUUCAUCGUGAUUCACUUUGUGUUCCGGUGAUUCGAUUUGCUGAUCGAUGUAUAGUUGAAGAGAGGAUUUUAUUUCUGUGUAUACAUGCGUGUGUAUGAAAAAGUGCGCCUGUUAAAUAGAAAUCGUGGAGAGAAAAAGUUGAUCAUAGUAUCAGCUUAAAAUUCCAUGGUUAAAAGCUACGUAAGAUGUAUAUAAAAGAUAUGUUUUAAUCAUGUAAUCCUAAUUGUGUGAUUCAUCUCGUCGAAGACGAGUCUAAAAUAAAUUUUUCGAUCAAAUGAAACAAACAAAAA